This 436-nucleotide long non-coding RNA is filed under the name Nicotiana benthamiana. RNAcentral describes it as "long non-coding RNA (NBEN_LNC015456)". Lineage: Eukaryota; Viridiplantae; Streptophyta; Magnoliopsida; Solanales; Solanaceae. The record is from RNAcentral.
UAAAUAACCCAGAAACCCUAAAUCAGAGAAAUAAAUGGUUUUGAAAACAUGGCUUUGAAAGAGAUAUUAAGAAACCAUUUAGAAACUUAGGGAAAAAAUGGAUCUGGAACAGAUCUAAAGAGAUCAGAAAAACCUCAAAAAUAGGGUUUCGGAGGAACCCAAAUGGUUAGAAAGGCCAGGAUCUAAGAAGAAGGGGUCGAAGCCAAGCUCGAAUCAGACGUGGCUUACCGGAGCAAGGCCAGAGAUGACCAUAUAACUUGAAUCAACAAGGCCUGGAUGAGGCUUCUUCAUGGUCACGCCAUGAAAACUCAGCAAACGAGCGUGUAUGCACCAUGAAAUGUUAGUAGGUGGUGAGACCACCAUUGAUUCAGGCUAGGAGAUGGCUAGAGAAGAUGGAUGAGACUCAUCCGAGAGGAGUGAGAGGGGGAAGGUUCUA